Molecule: ribosomal RNA, 468 nt
Filed under: uncultured bacterium
Lineage: Bacteria
Description: partial 16S ribosomal RNA
Rfam family: Bacterial small subunit ribosomal RNA
Source: RNAcentral
GACGAACGCUGGCGGCGUGCUUAACACAUGCAAGUCGAACGGAAAAGCCCUUCGGUUGUGGUGUGCUCCGAUGGCGAACGGAUGAGUAACGCAACAUUCACCUGGCCUUGGCUUUAGUAUAACUACAUGGAACUAAGGCUAAUACCUGAUCGGAUCUCCUACGGCAUGUGGUGGGUAGGAAAUUUUCGUCGGGUGGGGAUGGACUCGCGGCUUAUCAGCUUGUGGGUGGGGGAGUGGCUUACCAAGGCUGUGACGGGUAGCCGGCCUGAGAGGGUGACCGGCCACACUGGGACUGAGACACGGCCCAGACUCCUACGGGAGGCAGCAGUGGGGAAUAUUGCACAAUGGGCGGAAGCCUGACGCAGCAACGCCGCGUGGGGGAUGACGGCCUUCGGGUUGUAAACCUCUUUCAGCAGGGACGAAGCGCGAGUGACGGUACCGGCAAAAGAAGCACCGGCCAACUACGUG